This 253-nucleotide ribosomal RNA is filed under the name uncultured bacterium. RNAcentral describes it as "partial 16S ribosomal RNA". It matches the Rfam family "Bacterial small subunit ribosomal RNA", at positions 524 to 776 of the family's 1533-position model. The record is from RNAcentral.
UACGUAGGGGGCAAGCGUUAUCCGGAUUCACUGGGUGUAAAGGGAGCGUAGACGGCCAUGCAAGCCCGGAGUGAAAGCCCGGGGCCCAACCCCGGGACUGCUCUGGGAACUGUGCGGCUGGAGUGCGGGAGGGGCAGGCGGAAUUCCUGGUGUAGCGGUGAAAUGCGUAGAUAUCAGGAGGAACACCGGCGGCGAAGGCGGCCUGCUGGACCGCGACUGACGUUGAGGCUCGAAAGCGUGGGGAGCAAACAGG